RNAcentral lists this ribosomal RNA (861 nucleotides) under uncultured archaeon. Its description in RNAcentral is "bacterial SSU rRNA". It matches the Rfam family "Archaeal small subunit ribosomal RNA", at positions 1 to 869 of the family's 1478-position model. The record is from RNAcentral.
UUCCGGUUGAUCCUGCCGGACCUGACUGCUAUCGGAUUGAUACUAAGCCAUGCGAGUCAUUGUAGCAAUACAAGGCAGACGGCUCAGUAACGCGUAGUCAACCUAACCUAUGGACGGGAAUAACCUCGGGAAACUGAGAAUAAUGCCCGAUAGAACACUAUACCUGGAAUGGUUUGUGUUCCAAAUGAUUUAUCGCCGUAGGAUGGGACUGCGGCCUAUCAGUCUGUUGGUGAGGUAAUGGCCCACCAAGACUAUUACAGGUACGGGCUCUGAGAGGAGUAGCCCGGAGAUGGGUACUGAGACACGGACCCAGGCCCUAUGGGGCGCAGCAGGCGAGAAAACUUUGCAAUGUGCGAAAACACGACAAGGUUAAUCCGAGUGAUUUGUGCUAAACGAAUCUUUUGUUAGUCCUAGAAACACUAACGAAUAAGGGGUGGGCAAGUUCUGGUGUCAGCCGCCGCGGUAAAACCAGCACCUCAAGUGGUCAGGAUGAUUAUUGGGCCUAAAGCAUCCGUAGCCGGCUCUGUAAGUUUUCGGUUAAAUCUGUACGCUUAACGUACAGGCUGCCGGGAAUACUGCAGAGCUAGGGAGUGGGAGAGGUAGACGGUACUCGGUAGGAAGGGGUAAAAUCCUUUGAUCUAUUGAUGACCACCUGUGGCGAAGGCGGUCUACCAGAACACGUCCGACGGUGAGGGAUGAAAGCUGGGGGAGCAAACCGGAUUAGAUACCCGGGUAGUCCCAGCUGUAAACUAUGCAAACUCAGUGAUGCAUUGACUUGUGGUCAAUGCAGUGCUGCAGGGAAGCCGUUAAGUUUGCCGCCUGGGAAGUACGUACGCAAGUAUGAAACUUAAAGGAAUUGGC